UGCAAGUCGAGCGGUAACAGGAAUUAGCUUGCUAAUUUGCUGACGAGCGGCGGACGGGUGAGUAACGCGUAGGAAUCUGCCUGGUAGUGGGGGACAACAUGUGGAAACGCAUGCUAAUACCGCAUACGCCCUACGGGGGAAAGGAGGGGAUCUUCGGACCUUUCGCUAUCAGAUGAGCCUGCGUGAGAUUAGCUAGUUGGUGGGGUAAAGGCUCACCAAGGCGACGAUCUCUAGCUGGUCUGAGAGGAUGAUCAGCCACACUGGGACUGAGACACGGCCCAGACUCCUACGGGAGGCAGCAGUGGGGAAUAUUGGACAAUGGGCGCAAGCCUGAUCCAGCCAUGCCGCGUGUGUGAAGAAGGCCUUCGGGUUGUAAAGCACUUUCAGAGGUGAGGAAGGGUGUGCCGUUAAUACCGGUAUGCUUUGACGUUAGCCUCAGAAGAAGCACCGGCUAACUCUGUGCCAGCAGCCGCGGUAAUACAGAGGGUGCGAGCGUUAAUCGGAAUUACUGGGCGUAAAGCGCGCGUAGGUGGUUUGUUAAGUCGGAUGUGAAAGCCCAGGGCUCAACCUUGGAAUUGCACCCGAUACUGGCAAGCUAGAGUACGGUAGAGGGGUGUGGAAUUUCCUGUGUAGCGGUGAAAUGCGUAGAUAUAGGAAGGAACAUCAGUGGCGAAGCGACACCCUGGACCGAUACUGACACUGAGUGCGAAAGCGUGGGGAGCAAACAGGAUUAGAUACCC
Molecule: ribosomal RNA, 740 nt
Filed under: uncultured Marinomonas sp.
Lineage: Bacteria; Pseudomonadati; Pseudomonadota; Gammaproteobacteria; Oceanospirillales; Oceanospirillaceae
Description: bacterial SSU rRNA
Rfam family: Bacterial small subunit ribosomal RNA
Source: RNAcentral